This 72-nucleotide transfer RNA is filed under the name Flavobacterium sp. RNAcentral's name for it is "tRNA-Gln". It matches the Rfam family "tRNA". From Rfam's summary of the family: Transfer RNA (tRNA) molecules are approximately 80 nucleotides in length. Their secondary structure includes four short double-helical elements and three loops (D, anti-codon, and T loops). RNAcentral also lists the same sequence under 4 other names. The record is from RNAcentral. Lineage: Bacteria; Pseudomonadati; Bacteroidota; Flavobacteriia; Flavobacteriales; Flavobacteriaceae.
UCUGAUAUAGCUCAGUGGUAGAGCGUCCGGCUCUGGACCGGAUGGACACAGGUUCGAGCCCUGUUAUCAGAA